ACUUGUUUUGACCCUCAAAUUCUUGAGUCAGCCUUAUACUAUGGAGGAAACUAGAAAACCCUCCAGCCCAGUUCAAGAAUAAGCUUGGGGAAAGUUACUUCUUCGAAAGCAAAAGUAUCUCAUAUCAUCUCUUCUCCAUUUGCUUUUCCUUAUCCUUGUUGUUGUUUACGACACAAGGAGAAGGAGAACAAUCAACUGGAAGCCGAAGUCGAACCUUCGAUCCAAGUUGCUUGCUUGGAAGUCCGAUUGCUUACCUUGUCUGUUACCUCUUUCGACAAAUCUCCUAGCUCGGCGACUUGGGUGACUCCUACUAUUGGGUUUUGUAUCGCACUUGACCAAGCCUGAAACUACAAGUAAGCUUCAAGUGAAAUUGAUACAUUACCUUGUGCAUCUUCAUCGGUUAAAGAUACCACCCCUGGAUGGAGGAAAAGUACUUUUAGAGAAGAUGCCACAUCUACGUAUGAGACAGAUAAGGCAACUGAAAAUGAUACCACACUUCGGUACUUAGAAUUUUCGUGAUUACUCAAUGGCUUGGAUCUUGCAAUUCCCCAACCAAGGAGCUUCCCUCACUCGGGAACUUAAGGGAGCACUGUUUGUACCAUACUUGACCAAUCCCAAAACUAUUGAGCACCGGUCAACGUUAUACCGUCAAAGACCCAGAAGAGUUUCCUUCCAACCAGGAGGCCAAUCACAGCGCGACACGUGUCGACAUUAGAAGCCAAUCAUAGCACGACA
This 735-nucleotide long non-coding RNA is filed under the name Malus domestica (apple). Its description in RNAcentral is "long non-coding RNA (MDOM_LNC016350)". Lineage: Eukaryota; Viridiplantae; Streptophyta; Magnoliopsida; Rosales; Rosaceae. The record is from RNAcentral.